UAGAGUGGGAUCUUUGCGAUAAUGUUAAAGCAAUGUGCUUUGAUACAACUAGUUCAAAUACCGGUUGUUUUAAUGGCGCAUGUGCAUUAUUAGAAGAUAAAAUUGGCCGUGACUUAUUAUAUCUUGCUUGUCGCCAUCAUACUUCUGAAUUGAUGUUACGAAAUGUUGCAGAAGUUGCUUGGCCAGUGACGAAUAGUCCAAAUGUACCAAUUUUUAAAAGACUCAGAGAUAAUUAGGAAAAAAUUGAUAAAUCUGCGUAUGAAAUCGGCACAGAGGAUAAAGAUAUUGCACUUAUUUUAAAUCAAAGAAAAGACGAUAUUCUUGACUUCAUAGAAAAUCAACUGAAGAAUCAUCAUCCGAGAAAUGAUUACAAGGAGUUUUUGGAGCUGAGCUGUAUCUUUUUGGGUGGUAUCAAAAGUCAUAGAGCCGAAUUUAAAGCACCUGGUGCUUUUCAUCACGCACGGUGGUUAUCGAAA
Cotesia glomerata is the source of this 476-nucleotide long non-coding RNA. RefSeq lists it as uncharacterized. The transcript is spliced from 3 exons. Lineage: Eukaryota; Metazoa; Arthropoda; Insecta; Hymenoptera; Braconidae. The record is from RefSeq and is a predicted model, not a curated record.